GACGAAGGUGGCGAGCGUUGUUCGGAAUCAUUGGGCUUAAAGCGCACGUAGGCGGCUCUUCAAGUGUCUUGUGAAAUCCCUCGGCUCAACCGGGGAAUUGCUGGGCAUACUGUCGAGCUUGAGGCAGGUAUGGGCGAGUGGAACUCUUGGUGGAGCGGUGGAAUGCAUAGAUAUCAAGAGGAACGCCGGUGGUGAAGACGAUUCGCUGGGCCUGUCCUGACGCUGAGGUGCGAAAGCCAGGGGAG
This 245-nucleotide ribosomal RNA is filed under the name uncultured bacterium. RNAcentral describes it as "partial 16S ribosomal RNA". It matches the Rfam family "Bacterial small subunit ribosomal RNA", at positions 524 to 768 of the family's 1533-position model. The record is from RNAcentral.